AAGAGUAGUACUGCCCGUACCGCAAACCGACACAGGUAGAUGAGGAGAGAAUCCUAAGGUGAGCGAGAGAACUCUCGUUAAGGAACUCGGCAAAAUGACCCCGUAACUUCGGGAGAAGGGGUGCUCUAUUAGGGUGCAAGCCCGAGAGAGCCGCAGUGAAUAGGCCCAGGCGACUGUUUAGCAAAAACACAGGUCUCUGCAAAACCGUAAGGUGACGUAUAGGGGCUGACGCCUGCCCGGUGCUGGAAGGUUAAGAGGAGUGCUUAGCUUCGGCGAAGGUACGAAUUGAAGCCCCAGUAAACGGCGGCCGUAACUAUAACGGUCCUAAGGUAGCGAAAUUCCUUGUCGGGUAAGUUCCGACCCGCACGAAAGGCGCAACGAUCUGGGCACUGUCUCAACGAGAGACUCGGUGAAAUUAUAGUACCUGUGAAGAUGCAGGUUACCCGCGACAGGACGGAAAGACCCCGUGGAGCUUUACUGCAACCUGAUAUGGAAUGUUUGUACCGCUUGUACAGGAUAGGUAGGAGCCGAAGAGACGUGUGCGCUAGCAUACGAGGAGGCAAUGGUGGGAUACUACCCUGGCUGUAUGACCAUUCUAACCCGCCACGCUUAGCGCGUGGGGAGACAGUGUCAGGUGGGCAGUUUGACUGGGGCGGUCGCCUCCUAAAGAGUAACGGAGGCGCCCAAAGGUUCCCUCAGAAUGGAUGGAAAUCAUUCGCAGAGUGUAAAGGCACAAGGGAGCUUGACUGCGAGACUGACAAGUCGAGCAGGGACGAAAGUCGGGCUUAGUGAUCCGGUGGUUCCGCAUGGAAGGGCCAUCGCUCAACGGAUAAAAGCUACCCCGGGGAUAACAGGCUUAUCUCCCCCAAGAGUCCACAUCGACGGGGAGGUUUGGCACCUCGAUGUCGGCUCGUCGCAUCCUGGGGCUGUAGUCGGUCCCAAGGGUUGGGCUGUUCGCCCAUUAAAGCGGCACGCGAGCUGGGUUCAGAACGUCGUG
RNAcentral lists this ribosomal RNA (997 nucleotides) under Listeria monocytogenes. Its description in RNAcentral is "partial 23S ribosomal RNA". It matches the Rfam family "Bacterial large subunit ribosomal RNA", at positions 1628 to 2623 of the family's 2925-position model. Lineage: Bacteria; Bacillati; Bacillota; Bacilli; Caryophanales; Listeriaceae. The record is from RNAcentral.